UUAACCACCGCCUGUUCAUCCCAAAAAUUCCCUGCCUCUUCGAAUUUGGGCCUUUGUCUUCAUCGACAACUUUCUCAAUUCCUCGAUCCGUCACCUCCACCAAAAACCUACUUCUCGGUUCCAACAAGUUCUUACACUCUUAAUUCGACCCUAAUGAGCUGAGGAUUUAGGGUUCUUACCUCCCAGUUAUCAAUUUGAGCCGAUGAUUUAGGGUUCCUAAAUCCGACCCUAAUUUUUUCUAUCUCACUCUCGUAUUUCCAUCUCAUCCCUCUCGCCUGGUUCAAAACACGUAAGGGGCGACAAACACACUAUUUAUUUGCAUAUUUUGGUCUUCACCAAGAUCUGGUUUCCAUGUAAGCUUUAUGUUUCGAGCCCAAACUAUCCUCACGCGAUGUCAUCAUCUUCUCUUACUUACGCAUCUACACUCGGUGGUUCUUUGUCUAAAAGCACCACUCCCGAACCUCAAAUCGUGGCUACGCUCCAUGAACACCACACGCUGCUCGGUUUUGGAUUUGUUAGGGCUUGUUUCAUCCAUUCAUUGCCUCCCUAACACAAGUGAUCUUAUAACUCUGCAAAAUCUACAUCCUUCAAUCAUCUUUUCUAUAUCUUCAUAUGAUACAAGCUCUUCAGAUACUCUGGUCAAAGACAUCACUGGCUCCCCUCCCGUCGCUGCGGUCGGUCUUCCUUCUCCUCGCCGCCGUCGCCGCUGCUUCCUCCACCCUCGUCGGCGUCAGACCUUCUUUCUCCUUGCCAACGUCCUUUUCUUCCUUCCUGUCGCCGGCAUCCUGAACUCGUUUGGCCUGGACUAUUUGGGCACGAAGUUUCUAGGGUUCUUGGUGGUGGUCUGGUACCUGGUUCUUUGAUUUUGAUUGGUGGUGAUCCAGGUGUCGGGAAGAGUACACUAAUGUUACAGAUCGCAGCCAUUAUAGCAGAAGGGAGAGAAAUCGGUAAACCAGCUCCUGUGCUUUAUGUCUCUGGAGAAGAGAGUGUUGAGCAAAUUGGAAACAUAGCAGAUCGUAUGGAAAUCGACACAGAAGAAUUGUUCUUGUAUUCAAGGACAUUUUGGGAAAAGCUCAAGCUCUCUCUCCACGUGCCCUAAUCAUAGAUUCAAUCCAAACAGUUCAGCUAAUGGGAGUAACUGGAAGUGCUAGUGGUAUCUACCAGGUUAAAGAAUGUACAGCAGCCUUGUUGCGUUUAGCUAAGAAGACAGAUAUACCCGGUUAUAGCCAUAUGAUGACGUUGCAUUUCCAGACCUUGUAUUAACCGAAUGUUGUAUAGGAAAUAAGAGUCACUUCUGUGUGAUGUUUUCUGUGGAAGUUAGUUCAGGGUAUUUCUCAGCAAACCUGCCAGCUGAGCUUACAAGCACAACUGAAUUAAAGUUAAAGAAUAGCAAUAGCAAUCAGUGGCAACCCCUUCUUACAUUUAUUGAAAUCUCAAGACGUUUUUCUCUCAAAGCAAAAGCCAUUAGAUUCCGGGGAACAAUUGAAGAUUGCAACACUCUCCUCCAACAAAUCCUUUAUCAUGGUGAUGAGGAAGGUGGGGUGCUUACAGCGAGUGUUAAUGAUAUGGGGUGGUAUGGAUGUUAUCCAGAAGAUUGUGAAGAGAUGAUGUCAGCGCCUCUUAUCUCUGAGGCCACCAUUAACUUGAUAAGAAAGAUGCCUGUCGAUCUGAUGGUUACUCACUACAAGUUACACCUUUAUGCUGCUUUUUGAUACUAAUCGAACAGGGAAUGGAAUUGACCAUUCCGAUUCCUUCGUCCAAUGGGGAAGGGUGUUUUUUUUGUGUUCACUCACUCUUUGAUGAAAUGGAAUGAUUUUGUUAUAAUUAUCAAUUACUUUCAUCCAUAUAAUCAUCAAUAACAAUAAUAUACUUAAAAAGUUUCAAAACUUCAAUUAAAUUAUUUUUUGGUAUUUUUCUAAAAGUAAGUAAAAAUAUUUUUCUAAUAGUAGUUUUAUUUAAAGAUUUUAUUAUGUAUCUUAUUAAGUUAUUUCUGUAAACACUUUUUUUAAGUGAUGAAAUUCAUUCCAUUUCCUCUAGCCAACUAAACAUGAUAAUGGAAUGUAAUGAUCUAUUCCAUUAUGUUGAUUCCAUUCUGUUGUGAUUGAUUCCAUAGAUAAUUAUUUAACUGAUAAUUAUUUCAUUACAUAAUGUACAGCUUUUAUGUCAGCGGUUUUGAUCGAAGCCAUUACACUCACAUUAUUGGUUGCGUUACUAAUAUUUUUCACAUGUAAAUGUGUAUUUAUCCUCCUACACAAAAAGAUCAAAAAUCAACCUCAACCUCAAUCUCAAAAUUUACAGCACAUGUCAAGUACAAAAGACUCAUCUGAGAAUAUAACUGGACAGCCUUCUGGCUUAUCUAAACGGUUGCAUGAGGAAUCAAAAUUGGGCUAAGUGUUGAUUCUUACAUGUCGUUCCCAAUUGGAGAAAAUUAGUGGAACUCCAUCUGUAACCGUAUUUUUCCAACUUCUUUUGGUAUGUAUGUAUGGAUAUAGUCUUUAAAUCAGUUAAUUGUAGAGAUAUUGAUUUUAAAUCCUUGGUGGUGUUAGUUGUGGAUAUCUCUAUGCAAACCUGCCAGCUAAGCUUACAUGUUGGUGGAAUUGUUAUGGAGUUUAUUCAGGAUCUCAUCCAGAAACAACAUUCAAUUACAUGGUUUUGGGUGUUAUUACUAGUUUUUGUUAUUCUUGUAGUGAUCACAAUUCUGAGUUUAUACUCUCAGCACUAAAUCUAUCGUGUUUCACUUACUAUGGUAUGGUCGGCUUUUCAUUAUCAGCCACAGAUCUUGAUUCAUUACAGCCUAUCCAAUUAGGGAGUCGUACCCGUAUCAGAAGCAACCAAAGCUUGUUGAAUUGAUGAUCAAGGCUUUCAAACUCAGAUUUUGUGAGGUUUCUUUCAGGGUUUCCUAUAGAACUUGAAAGAAAAUGCCCUUUAUGAGUUUGACAAGUUUGAAUUUGGUUGAAAGAAAGGUUCCCUGAAGAAUUGUUCCAGAUAUCUGGGGAGUAUCCUUAUAUUCUUAUACUCAUUUCUCAUCUUCCAUUAUUAUAUUUAUAGUAUAGGUGAAAGAAAAACAAUUUGUUUUUUUUCUUAACUGUAUCUUCUUCUAGCAUGAAUACCAAUUGCACUAUUACUCCAUUAUUUGAGAAGGUUCUGAGUAACUUAUUUAUAGUAUACUUUUUUUUCUUCAAAAAACUAGUCACAAAACACCACGUUACAAUAAGCUCAAAAAAACAAGUCAGUUUUUACACAUGAAACAGAGCCUAAACCACAAUAAGCAUAAACCAUUUUGUACAAUCUAAACACUCAAAGUAACUUAUUAGCAGUACCAACCGCAAUGAGCUAACACUUUAAAUAAGAAAAUUCCAAACACUCCCUUACUAGAUAAAAUCAUGUCCACUUUAAAUAAGCUAAUUUCUUUUUACUACAACACUACAUGGAGAGUUAACUUAUGGGAAGAUUGGGGAAUGGCGUUUUGACAAAAGGUCAUAUCUUCGAGACUUUGUGCAGUUUCUAUGAGUAGUUACUUAAAGUGUGGAUACAAGGAAACAAAGCUGCAACUAUGAAGCCAUAUAACUUGCUAGGACAUGCUAUAACUUUUAUCAGUCCACACCAAUAAAGUUGGCUAGAGAAAACUACUUCCUCCAUUCAGGGCAGCUAAUGUUCAAGUCAUUAUUUGUCAUCUACACUCAAUGGACAACAACCAAUUUUUUGAUAUAGAGGAUUUGUUUUUUACAUGAUAUCUGAAACAAGGUUUCCCUUAAUAGCAAUGUAAUAAUAGGUUAGAUAGUUAGGGAUUGUAUUUUAUGCAAUGGAUUGUAUUUUUUGUAUAUGAUUAUUUGUAUGACAUUAAAUUUUUUGCAAUGGAUUGUAUUUUUUGUA
Lactuca sativa (garden lettuce) is the source of this 3873-nucleotide non-coding RNA. The record is from RefSeq and is a predicted model, not a curated record. Lineage: Eukaryota; Viridiplantae; Streptophyta; Magnoliopsida; Asterales; Asteraceae.